CCUACGGGUGGCAGCAGUGAGGAAUAUUGGUCAAUGGGCGCGAGCCUGAACCAGCCAAGUAGCGUGAAGGAUGACUGCCCUACGGGUUGUAAACUUCUUUUAUAAAGGAAUAAAGUGAGGCACGUGUGCCUUUUUGUAUGUACUUUAUGAAUAAGGAUCGGCUAACUCCGGGCCAGCAGCCGCGGUAAUACGGAGGAACAGAGCGUUAUCCGGAUUUAUUGGGUUUAAAGGGAGCGUAGAUGGGUUGUUAAGUCAGUGGUGAACGUUUGCGGCUCAACCGUAAAAUUGCAAUUGAUACUGGCAGCCUUGAGUACAGUUGAGGUAGGCGGAAUUCGUGGUGUAGCAGUGAAAUGCUGAGAUAUCACGAAGAACUCCGAUUGCGAAGGCAGCCUACUAAACUGCCACUGACAUUGAUGCUCGAAAGUGUGGGUAUCAAACAGGAUUAGAUACCCUUGUAGUC
Molecule: ribosomal RNA, 460 nt
Filed under: uncultured bacterium
Lineage: Bacteria
Description: partial 16S ribosomal RNA
Rfam family: Bacterial small subunit ribosomal RNA
Source: RNAcentral